RNAcentral lists this ribosomal RNA (468 nucleotides) under uncultured bacterium. Its description in RNAcentral is "partial 16S ribosomal RNA". It matches the Rfam family "Bacterial small subunit ribosomal RNA", at positions 28 to 507 of the family's 1533-position model. The record is from RNAcentral.
GACGAACGCUGGCGGCGGGCUUAACACAUGCAAGUCGAACGGAAAGGCCCUGCUUUUGUGGGGUGCUCGAGUGGCGAACGGGUGAGUAACACGUGAGUAACCUGCCCUGGACUUUGGGAUAACUGCAGGAAACUGGGGCUAAUACCUGAUAGGUGCGCCUGCUGCAUGGUGGGGGUUGGAAAUUUUCGUCGGUUGGGGAUGUACUCGCGGCUUAUCAGCUUGUGGGUGGGGUAGUUGCUUACCAGGGGUUUGACGGGUAGCCGGCAUGAGAGGGUGACCGGCCACAUUGGGACUGAGAUACGGACCAGACUCCUACGGGAGGCAGCAGUGGGGAAUAUUGCACAAUGGGCGGAAGCCUGAUGAAGCAACGCCGCGUGCGGGAUGACGGUCUUCGGGUUGUAAACCGCUUUCGCCUGUGACGAAGCGUGAGUGACGGUAAUGGGUAAAGAAGCACCGGCUAACUACGUG